RNAcentral lists this long non-coding RNA (890 nucleotides) under Oryza sativa (Asian cultivated rice). RNAcentral describes it as "long non-coding RNA (OSAT_LNC001084)". Lineage: Eukaryota; Viridiplantae; Streptophyta; Magnoliopsida; Poales; Poaceae. The record is from RNAcentral.
CCAACUACGUGCCUUAUGGGGUGAACUUCGGCAGCCGCCGUAAGCCGACAGGGAGGUUCUCCGACGGCAAGAUCGUCACCGACAUCACCGGUUGUUAACUUCACACACGAGUACACAUAGACCAUAGUUACCUGCAUGCUAUUUUUGCAAAGUUGCAAUUAUAUAUUUUGGUUAAAAAAUGAUAUGAUGCAGCUGAAACGCUUGGCUUUGAGAGCUAUGCACCACCGUACCUUAGCCCGCAGGCGAAGGGGGAUAACCUUCUCCUUGGCGCCAACUUUGCCUCCGCGGCGUCCAGCUACCAUGACGACACGGCCGCCAUGUAUGUGAGUACAUAAAUAACUUGUCCCAGCAAGCUACACAUAAAUAGAUACUUUUUUUUUAGUGAAACAUAAAGCUACAUAUAUAGAUAGAGAGCUACAAGUGUUUACUUAAUUAGUUUAACUUAUUAGCUACUUCCUCCGUACUCAUAAAGCUCGUAAAGGAAGUCGUUCAGGAUAAUGUUUAAGUCAAACAUUGGGAAUAUAUAAAUUAUGAAUAACUCUCAAGUUGUUGAGUUUGAAAAUAUAAAAAUUAUAUGAAUAUAUUUGUCUUGAAAAAUACUUUCAUAAAAGUAUACAUAUAUCACUUUUUAAUAAAUAUUUUUAUAGAAACAAUAAGUCAAAGUUGUGUUUUGCAGACCGUGUCGCUCGUGUCGUUGUCCAAAACGACUUCCUUUACGAAUAUGGAGGGAGUACAAGCUAAGGUUCCUAUUUUUGGUGAGGUGACAAAUGACAAAUGGUCAAAUGCAUACCUUUCUUUGUAGGAUGCAAUUACUUUGACGCAGCAGCUCAAGUACUACAAGGAGUACCAGUCCAAGCUUGCGGCGUUGAUCGGCCAGAAGAAUGCCACCG